Rhamnusium bicolor is the source of this 75-nucleotide non-coding RNA. Lineage: Eukaryota; Metazoa; Arthropoda; Insecta; Coleoptera; Cerambycidae. The record is from the annotation of a GenBank genome assembly.
GUUAAUUGUAGUCGAGAGGUAAAGACACUUGGCUCUCACCCCAGAAUCUCGGGUUCGAUCUCCGGUCGAGAAACU